UGGGGAAUCUUCCGCAAUGGGCGAAAGCCUGACGGAGCAACGCCGCGUGAGUGAAGAAGUAUUUCGGUAUGUAAAGCUCUAUCAGCAGGGAAGAAAAUGACGGUACCUGACUAAGAAGCCCCGGCUAACUACGUGCCAGCAGCCGCGGUAAUACGUAGGGGGCAAGCGUUAUCCGGAUUUACUGGGUGUAAAGGGAGCGUAGACGGCGAGACAAGUCUGAAGUGAAAGCCCGGGGCUCAACCCCGGGACUGCUUUGGAAACUGCCUUGCUAGAGUGCUGGAGAGGUAAGUGGAAUUCCUAGUGUAGCGGUGAAAUGCGUAGAUAUUAGGAGGAACACCAGUGGCGAAGGCGGCUUACUGGACAGUAACUGACGUUGAGGCUCGAAAGCGUGGGGAGCAAACA
This 402-nucleotide ribosomal RNA is filed under the name uncultured bacterium. RNAcentral's name for it is "bacterial SSU rRNA". It matches the Rfam family "Bacterial small subunit ribosomal RNA", at positions 355 to 774 of the family's 1533-position model. The record is from RNAcentral.